GGUCAAGUGAAGAAGCGCAUACGGUGGAUGCCUUGGCAGUCAGAGGCGAUGAAAGACGUGGUAGCCUGCGAAAAGCUUCGGGGAGUCGGCAAACAGACUUUGAUCCGGAGAUGUCUGAAUGGGGGAACCCAGCCAUCAUAAGAUGGUUAUCUUGUACUGAAUACAUAGGUGCAAGAGGCGAACCAGGGGAACUGAAACAUCUAAGUACCCUGAGGAAAAGAAAUCAACCGAGAUUCCCUUAGUAGUGGCGAGCGAACGGGGACUAGCCCUUAAGUGGCUUUGAGAUUAGCGGAACGCUCUGGAAAGUGCGGCCAUAGUGGGUGAUAGCCCUGUACGCGAAAAUCUCUUAGUCAUGAAAUCGAGUAGGACGGAGCACGAGAAACUUUGUCUGAAUAUGGGGGGACCAUCCUCCAAGGCUAAAUACUACUGACUGACCGAUAGUGAACUAGUACCGUGAGGGAAAGGCGAAAAGAACCCCGGAGAGGGGAGUGAAAUAGAUCCUGAAACCGUAUGCGUACAAGCAGUGGGAGCAGACUUUGUUCUGUGACUGCGUACCUUUUGUAUAAUGGGUCAGCGACUUAUUUUCAGUGGCGAGCUUAACCGAAUAGGGGAGGCGUAGCGAAAGCGAGUCUUAAUAGGGCGUCUAGUCGCUGGGAAUAGACCCGAAACCGGGCGAUCUAUCCAUGGGCAGGUUGAAGGUUGGGUAACACUAACUGGAGGACCGAACCGACUACCGUUGAAAAGUUAGCGGAUGACCUGUGGAUCGGAGUGAAAGGCUAAUCAAGCUCGGAGAUAGCUGGUUCUCCUCGAAAGCUAUUUAGGUAGCGCCUCAUGUAUCACUGUAGGGGGUAGAGCACUGUUUCGGCUAGGGGGUCAUCCCGACUUACCAAACCGAUGCAAACUCCGAAUACCUACAAGUGCCGAGCAUGGGAGACACACGGCGGGUGCUAACGUCCGUCGUGAAAAGGGAAACAACCCAGACCGUCAGCUAAGGUCCCAAAGUUAUGGUUAAGUGGGAAACGAUGUGGGAAGGCUUAGACAGCUAGGAGGUUGGCUUAGAAGCAGCCACCCUUUAAAGAAAGCGUAAUAGCUCACUAGUCGAGUCGGCCUGCGCGGAAGAUGUAACGGGGCUCAAACCAUACACCGAAGCUACGGGUAUCACGUAAGUGAUGCGGUAGAGGAGCGUUCUGUAAGCCUGUGAAGGUGAGUUGAGAAGCUUGCUGGAGGUAUCAGAAGUGCGAAUGCUGACAUGAGUAACGACAAUGGGUGUGAAAAACACCCACGCCGAAAGACCAAGGUUUCCUGCGCAACGUUAAUCGACGCAGGGUUAGUCGGUCCCUAAGGCGAGGCUGAAAAGCGUAGUCGAUGGAAAACAGGUUAAUAUUCCUGUACUUCUGGUUAUUGCGAUGGAGGGACGGAGAAGGCUAGGCCAGCUUGGCGUUGGUUGUCCAAGUUUAAGGUGGUAGGCUGGAAUCUUAGGUAAAUCCGGGAUUCUAAGGCCGAGAGCUGAUGACGAGUCAUCUUUUAGAUGACGAAGUGGUUGAUGCCAUGCUUCCAAGAAAAGCUUCUAAGCUUCAGGUAACCAGGAACCGUACCCCAAACCGACACAGGUGGUUGGGUAGAGAAUACCAAGGCGCUUGAGAGAACUCGGGUGAAGGAACUAGGCAAAAUGGCACCGUAACUUCGGGAGAAGGUGCGCCGGUGAGGGUGAAGGACUUGCUCCGUAAGCCCAUGCCGGUCGAAGAUACCAGGCCGCUGCGACUGUUUAUUAAAAACACAGCACUCUGCAAACACGAAAGUGGACGUAUAGGGUGUGACGCCUGCCCGGUGCCGGAAGGUUAAUUGAUGGGGUUAGCUAACGCGAAGCUCUUGAUCGAAGCCCCGGUAAACGGCGGCCGUAACUAUAACGGUCCUAAGGUAGCGAAAUUCCUUGUCGGGUAAGUUCCGACCUGCACGAAUGGCGUAACGAUGGCGGCGCUGUCUCCACCCGAGACUCAGUGAAAUUGAAAUCGCUGUGAAGAUGCAGUGUAUCCGCGGCUAGACGGAAAGACCCCGUGAACCUUUACUAUAGCUUUGCACUGGACUUUGAAUUUGCUUGUGUAGGAUAGGUGGGAGGCUUUGAAGCGUGGACGCCAGUCUGCGUGGAGCCAUCCUUGAAAUACCACCCUGGCAACUUUGAGGUUCUAACUCAGGUCCGUUAUCCGGAUCGAGGACAGUGUAUGGUGGGUAGUUUGACUGGGGCGGUCUCCUCCUAAAGAGUAACGGAGGAGUACGAAGGUGCGCUCAGACCGGUCGGAAAUCGGUCGUAGAGUAUAAAGGCAAAAGCGCGCUUGACUGCGAGACAGACACGUCGAGCAGGUACGAAAGUAGGUCUUAGUGAUCCGGUGGUUCUGUAUGGAAGGGCCAUCGCUCAACGGAUAAAAGGUACUCCGGGGAUAACAGGCUGAUACCGCCCAAGAGUUCAUAUCGACGGCGGUGUUUGGCACCUCGAUGUCGGCUCAUCACAUCCUGGGGCUGAAGCCGGUCCCAAGGGUAUGGCUGUUCGCCAUUUAAAGUGGUACGCGAGCUGGGUUUAGAACGUCGUGAGACAGUUCGGUCCCUAUCUGCCGUGGACGUUUGAGAUUUGAGAGGGGCUGCUCCUAGUACGAGAGGACCGGAGUGGACGAACCUCUGGUGUUCCGGUUGUCACGCCAGUGGCAUUGCCGGGUAGCUAUGUUCGGAAUAGAUAACCGCUGAAAGCAUCUAAGCGGGAAACUAGCCUCAAGAUGAGAUCUCACUGGAACCUUGAGUUCCCUGAAGGGCCGUCGAAGACUACGACGUUGAUAGGUUGGGUGUGUAAGCGCUGUGAGGCGUUGAGCUAACCAAUACUAAUUGCCCGUGAGGCUUGACCAU
RNAcentral lists this ribosomal RNA (2892 nucleotides) under Pseudomonas palleroniana. Its description in RNAcentral is "23S ribosomal RNA". It matches the Rfam family "Bacterial large subunit ribosomal RNA". The record is from RNAcentral. Lineage: Bacteria; Pseudomonadati; Pseudomonadota; Gammaproteobacteria; Pseudomonadales; Pseudomonadaceae. RNAcentral also lists the same sequence under 1 other name.